AGCAGCCGCGGUAAUUCCAGCUCCAAUAGCGUAUAUUAAAGUUGUUGCAGUUAAAAAGCUCGUAGUUGAAUUUCGGGGUCAAUAUGUUGGUCGUGCCUUCGGUACGUACUGGUGUUAUUGAUCUCUCCCUUCUGAUGAAUCAUGAUGUCAUUAAUUUGGUGUCGUGGGGAGUCAGGACUGUUACUUUGAAAAAAUUAGAGUGUUUAAAGCAGGCUCACGCUUGAAUACAUUAGCAUGGAAUAAUGAAAUAGGGCGUUCGAUCCUAUUUUGUUGGUUUCUAGGAUCAACGUAAUGAUUAAUAGGGAUAGUUGGGGGCAUUAGUAUUCAAUUGUCAGAGGUGAAAUUCUUGGAUUUAUUGAAGACUAACUACUGCGAAAGCAUUUGCCAAGGAUGUUUUCAUUAAUCAAGAACGAAAGUUAGGGGAUCGAAGACGAUCAGAUACCGUCGUAG
Molecule: ribosomal RNA, 450 nt
Filed under: uncultured Glomeromycotina
Lineage: Eukaryota; Fungi; Glomeromycota
Description: SSU rRNA
Rfam family: Eukaryotic small subunit ribosomal RNA
Source: RNAcentral